UGGCUCAGAUUGAACGCUGGCGGCAGGCCUAACACAUGCAAGUCGAGCGGUAGCACAGAGAGCUUGCUCUCGGGUGACGAGCGGCGGACGGGUGAGUAAUGUCUGGGAAACUGCCUGAUGGAGGGGGAUAACUACUGGAAACGGUAGCUAAUACCGCAUAACGUCGCAAGACCAAAGUGGGGGACCUUCGGGCCUCAUGCCAUCAGAUGUGCCCAGAUGGGAUUAGCUAGUAGGUGGGGUAACGGCUCACCUAGGCGACGAUCCCUAGCUGGUCUGAGAGGAUGACCAGCCACACUGGAACUGAGACACGGUCCAGACUCCUACGGGAGGCAGCAGUGGGGAAUAUUGCACAAUGGGCGCAAGCCUGAUGCAGCCAUGCCGCGUGUGUGAAGAAGGCCUUCGGGUUGUAAAGCACUUUCAGCGGGGAGGAAGGCGAUAAGGUUAAUAACCUUGUCGAUUGACGUUACCCGCAGAAGAAGCACCGGCUAACUCCGUGCCAGCAGCCGCGGUAAUACGGAGGGUGCAAGCGUUAAUCGGAAUUACUGGGCGUAAAGCGCACGCAGGCGGUCUGUCAAGUCGGAUGUGAAAUCCCCGGGCUUAACCUGGGAACUGCAUUCGAAACUGGCAGGCUAGAGUCUUGUAGAGGGGGGUAGAAUUCCAGGUGUAGCGGUGAAAUGCGUAGAGAUCUGGAGGAAUACCGGUGGCGAAGGCGGCCCCCUGGACAAAGACUGACGCUCAGGUGCGAAAGCGUGGGGAGCAAACAGGAUUAGAUACCCUGGUAGUCCACGCCGUAAACGAUGUCGAUUUGGAGGUUGUGCCCUUGAGGCGUGGCUUCCGGAGCUAACGCGUUAAAUCGACCGCCUGGGGAAUACGGCCGCAAGGUUAAAACUCAAAUGAAUUGACGGGGGCCCGCACAAGCGGUGGAGCAUGUGGUUUAAUUCGAUGCAACGCGAAGAACCUUACCUGGUCUUGACAUCCACAGAACUUUCCAGAGAUGGAUUGGUGCCUUCGGGAACUGUGAGACAGGUGCUGCAUGGCUGUCGUCAGCUCGUGUUGUGAAAUGUUGGGUUAAGUCCCGCAACGAGCGCAACCCUUAUCCUUUGUUGCCAGCGGUCCGGCCGGGAACUCAAAGGAGACUGCCAGUGAUAAACUGGAGGAAGGUGGGGAUGACGUCAAGUCAUCAUGGCCCUUACGACCAGGGCUACACACGUGCUACAAUGGCAUAUACAAAGAGAAGCGACCUCGCGAGAGCAAGCGGACCUCAUAAAGUAUGUCGUAGUCCGGAUUGGAGUCUGCAACUCGACUCCAUGAAGUCGGAAUCGCUAGUAAUCGUAGAUCAGAAUGCUACGGUGAAUACGUUCCCGGGCCUUGUACACACCGCCCGUCACACCAUGGGAGUGGGUUGCAAAAGAAGUAGGUAGCUUAACCUUCGGGAGGGCGCUUACCACUUUGUGAUUCAUGACUGGGGUGAAGUCGUAACAAGGU
Molecule: ribosomal RNA, 1485 nt
Filed under: uncultured bacterium
Lineage: Bacteria
Description: 16S ribosomal RNA
Rfam family: Bacterial small subunit ribosomal RNA
Source: RNAcentral